This 307-nucleotide long non-coding RNA is filed under the name Solanum tuberosum (potato). Its description in RNAcentral is "long non-coding RNA (STUB_LNC011349)". Lineage: Eukaryota; Viridiplantae; Streptophyta; Magnoliopsida; Solanales; Solanaceae. The record is from RNAcentral.
GGUGCCCAUUUUUUAUUCAAUCUUUUAUUCCAUAUAGUUUUUUCUCUAUCAUAUUAUUCAUAGUUUGCAUUAUAAUAUUUUGGAUUUAGGUUUUUUGGGUUUUUUACUCCUGAUGUACUAGGUUUUUCAUCCAUGUCUACGUUUCAUGUAUUUACUUCUAAACUCUUUGUAUUAUCCAUGUUUGCUAAAAGUUCCGUAUAUGUUUCACUUGUUUCUGAAUGUUGUUCAUCUAGAUCAUCGUCGUUUAUUUCAUCAAUUCUUAUUUCAAGUAGAUUACCUUCGUUAUUUUCUUCUUUUUCUUCUAAUU